AUUGAACGCUGGCGGCAUGCCUUACACAUGCAAGUCGAACGGUAACAGGUCUUCGGAUGCUGACGAGUGGCGAACGGGUGAGUAAUACAUCGGAACGUGCCCGAUCGUGGGGGAUAACGAAGCGAAAGCUUUGCUAAUACCGCAUAAGAUCUACGGAUGAAAGCAGGGGACCGCAAGGCCUUGCGCGAACGGAGCGGCCGAUGGCAGAUUAGGUAGUUGGUGGGAUAAAAGCUUACCAAGCCGACGAUCUGUAGCUGGUCUGAGAGGACGACCAGCCACACUGGGACUGAGACACGGCCCAGACUCCUACGGGAGGCAGCAGUGGGGAAUUUUGGACAAUGGGCGAAAGCCUGAUCCAGCCAUGCCGCGUGCAGGAUGAAGGCCUUCGGGUUGUAAACUGCUUUUGUACGGAACGAAAAGACUCUGGUUAAUACCUGGGGUCCAUGACGGUACCGUAAGAAUAAGCACCGGCUAACUACGUGCCAGCAGCCGCGGUAAUACGUAGGGUGCAAGCGUUAAUCGGAAUUACUGGGCGUAAAGCGUGCGCAGGCGGUUAUAUAAGACAGGUGUGAAAUCCCCGGGCUCAACCUGGGAACUGCAUUUGUGACUGUAUAGCUAGAGUACGGCAGAGGGGGAUGGAAUUCCGCGUGUAGCAGUGAAAUGCGUAGAUAUGCGGAGGAACACCGAUGGCGAAGGCAAUCCCCUGGGCCUGUACUGACGCUCAUGCACGAAAGCGUGGGGAGCAAACAGGAUUAGAUACCCUGGUAGUCCACGCCCUAAACGAUGUCAACUGGUUGUUGGGUCUUCACUGACUCAGUAACGAAGCUAACGCGUGAAGUUGACCGCCUGGGGAGUACGGCCGCAAGGUUGAAACUCAAGGAAUUGACGGGGACCCGCACAAGCGGUGGAUGAUGUGGUUUAAUUCGAUGCAACGCGAAAACCUUACCCACCUUUGACAUGUACGGAAUCCUUUAGAGAUAGAGAGUGCUCGAAAGAGAGCCGUAACACAGGUGCUGCAUGGCUGUCGUCAGCUCGUGUCGUGGAGAUGUUU
Molecule: ribosomal RNA, 1051 nt
Filed under: uncultured bacterium
Lineage: Bacteria
Description: bacterial SSU rRNA
Rfam family: Bacterial small subunit ribosomal RNA
Source: RNAcentral